AAGAAAGUAAUUAAGGGCGUUCGAAGGAUGCCUUGGCUCUUAUAGGCGAUGAAGGACGUGAUAAGCUGCGUUAAGUUACGGGGAGGAGCAAAUAUCCAUUAUAUCCGUAAAUAUCCGAAUGGGGCAACCCAUACAGAUGAAGUCUGUAUAUACUGCUUGCAGUAUGCUAACCGGGAGAACUGAAACAUCUAAGUACCCCGAGGAAAAUAAAACAAAUAGUGAUUCCCAAAGUAGUGGCGAGCGAAAUGGGAACAGCCCAAAUCUCAAAUGUUAAGGCAUUUGAGAGGUUGUAGGACUACAAUAUAGACUAUAGAUUUGAAAUAGAAGUUGUCUGGAAAGCAAUACCAUAGAGGGUGAUAGUCCCUUAUAUUAAUCAAAUCUGUUACUUAGUAGUAUCCUGAGUACCGCGGGACUCGAGAAAUCCUGUGGGAAUCUGCCGGGACCAUCCGGUAAGGCUAAAUACUAAUAAGAGACCGAUAGCGAACUAGUACUGUGAAGGAAAGGUGAAAAGAACCGCGAACAGCGGAGUGAAAUAGAACCUGAAAUCGAACGCCUACAAGCGGUUGGAGUGGCUUCGUGCCAUGACAGCGUGCCUUUUGCAUAAUGAGCCUACGAGUUACUCCUCUCUAGCAAGGUUAAGAAUCUAAGAUUCGCAGCCGAAGCGAAAGCAAGUCUGAAUAGGGCGUAUAGUUAGAGGGGGUAGACGCGAAACCUUGUGAUCUACCCUUGGUCAGGAUGAAGUUGCCGUAACAGGUAAUGGAGGUCCGAACUGGUGAGCGUUGAAAAGCUCUCGGAUGAACUGAGGGUAGGGGUGAAAGGCUAAUCAAACUGGGAAAUAGCUCGUACUCCCCGAAAUGUUUUUAGGAACAGCCUUGAAAUUAAUUGUCAUAGAGGUAGAGCUAC
Molecule: ribosomal RNA, 903 nt
Filed under: Bacteroidota bacterium
Lineage: Bacteria; Pseudomonadati; Bacteroidota
Description: Bacteroidetes bacterium (activated sludge metagenome) partial 23S ribosomal RNA
Rfam family: Bacterial large subunit ribosomal RNA
Source: RNAcentral